GCAUGUGUAGGAUAGGUGGUAGGCGAUGAAACCACGGCGCCAGCCGAGGGGGAGCCGACCUUGAAAUACCACCCUUGACGUUAUGAGGGUCUAACCGCAUCCCGUGAUCCGGGAUCGGGACCGCGCAUGGCAGGCAGUUUGACUGGGGCGGUCGCCUCCCAAAGCGUAACGGAGGCGUGCAACGGUAGUCUCAGACCGG
Molecule: ribosomal RNA, 199 nt
Filed under: Alexandrium monilatum
Lineage: Eukaryota; Dinophyceae; Gonyaulacales; Pyrocystaceae
Description: partial Bacterial large subunit ribosomal RNA
Rfam family: Bacterial large subunit ribosomal RNA
Source: RNAcentral